GACGAACCGUGCGAACGUUGUUCGGAAUCACUGGGCUUAAAGGGCGCGUAGGCGGGCUGCCAAGUCCGGGGUGAAACCCGCCGGCUCAACCGGCGGACGGCCCCGGGUACUGGCGGCCUCGAGGCGGGUAGGGGCGGGCGGAACACUGGGUGGAGCGGUGAAAUGCGUUGAUAUCCAGUGGAACUCCGGUGGCGAAGGCGGCCCGCUGGACCCGAUCUGACGCUGAGGCGCGAAAGCCAGGGGAGCGAACGGG
This 253-nucleotide ribosomal RNA is filed under the name uncultured bacterium. Its description in RNAcentral is "partial 16S ribosomal RNA". It matches the Rfam family "Bacterial small subunit ribosomal RNA", at positions 524 to 776 of the family's 1533-position model. The record is from RNAcentral.